GUGGCUUAGAGACACAUGGGGCAGAUGUCUGAAUCAAGUAUGGUCUUGUGUAAAUUUUGACAUGUGUUCAGUCUUUCGUUAUGCAGUAGCCAUACAAAAAAAACAUUGUUGGCCACCCUUGAUGACUAAAACAGAGAGAGUGGGAUCAUCAAUUCCUUGGUAUCUCUAUCCUCAACCAAACUACGGACCAUCCAACCUUCGGUCAGGUUCACUAUUCUUCAAUCUUAGUGCUGCAUAUUCCUAUUUGAAUGAUACUUGGUGCAUAAAAUUAGUGAUUUGGAAAAUUCUUUUUUUUUCUUUGUUACGAACAAAUCUGCAACUCUGUAUCCUAUUUCUUGCCACUGUUUUGUGUUAUUUUGCUCACACAGAAUGGCCAUGUUUAUCUUAAAUUUCCUUCUCAAUUGCCUUUAAAUUAAUAAAUCAGGGUAACAAAUAGAAUGUGUCUGUUCCAUUACCCACAACUGUACCAUUAUCUACUAUUGAAUAGUUGGAUCAAUAAACUUGUCGUAAUCUUUUGUUGUAGAAGAGCAAUGUUCUACCUGCUUAUAGUUAUAUGUCAUCCUGAGUUGUUAUUUGUAAGAUGAUGAUGAUUGAUAAGAAUCUCAUCGAUAAGUUUUGCCCUGAAUUUUUUCUCAUUGAGUUUUGGUACAUUUGGUAUUGUUUGAUAUGCUAUCUAAUAUAUAGUGUGUGCUCCCACUUCAGUUGAUUAAUUAUUUUUCACUUAGCAGCGGGUGAUUGAUGGACCAAUUAUGCCAGUAAUGUCCUUAAUUUCAGAGAAGAUGCAAAACAGAUAACAUGGAUGAGCUUGCAUACUUGCCGGUAGUGUAGCUUUCUGCUGAACCAUAUAUUCUGCCAGGAGAAGUUUCAGUGACCAAUGGAAGCUUUGAUGUAUUUUUUUCAAGCAAAAGUAAUCGUCUAUUAUCCAUGUCAGGUUUCGACUCAAAUUGUGGUGCUUCUGUUCUAUGCAAUUUUAUUUUCUUACUGAUGCCAUGUUCUGGCAUUCCUUAUCUUUUAUGCCUGAUGUGAGUCUUAGUGCUAAUAAGAACUAUUUUUUCCCAAUGGUAAAUCUACCUUUUCCCCAUCAUGUGACUUAAAGCUAAUCUAUUCAUGGUUAGUUGUCCUUCCUGUAUAAAGGUCAUCUGUUUCGAUUCAGUUCUCUUCGCUUUCUUUUACUGUAACAUAGACCAUGCUCACAUGGUCGCAAAUUGUAAACAGAGAUGGAAACGUGCAUACAGAUCUCUCGAGCAUGC
Molecule: long non-coding RNA, 1250 nt
Filed under: Triticum aestivum (bread wheat)
Lineage: Eukaryota; Viridiplantae; Streptophyta; Magnoliopsida; Poales; Poaceae
Description: long non-coding RNA (TAES_LNC026015)
Source: RNAcentral